AACGCACAUUGCGCUUCCUGGUAUUCCGGGGAGCAUGCUCGUUUCAGAAUCAUUAAAAACUCACAAACCGCGGCUGCUGUUGCAUUACGGCUUGCUGCGGCUAGUGGAUUUGAGCGCCUUGCGUCACCAAUGAGGUUUUCUCGGCGUCGCAACCGCUUUAAAAUGAUAGUGUGAGUUCCUUCCAGACAAUGCUGGGGAUCAAAAAGUGCAACAGACUUGUCUAUCACUUUUUGUGUCAACGGUAAUUUGUUUUGGUUGGCGCGAACGUUCUUACCCAACACAAAUGUCAGUCGUUUGCCUGGACUUCUGGCUUUGAAACUUGGUCUGAAAUCGAGCAAGAAAACCCGCUGAACUUAA
This 357-nucleotide unclassified non-coding RNA is filed under the name uncultured fungus. Its description in RNAcentral is "partial contains 5.8S ribosomal RNA, internal transcribed spacer 2, and large subunit ribosomal RNA". Lineage: Eukaryota; Fungi. The record is from RNAcentral.